Molecule: long non-coding RNA, 1950 nt
Organism: Suricata suricatta (meerkat)
Lineage: Eukaryota; Metazoa; Chordata; Mammalia; Carnivora; Herpestidae
Exons: 3
Source: RefSeq, a predicted model, not a curated record
GUGCGCAGGCUUAGCUGAGAGACCUUGAUUCCAAGUCCAUGAGAUGAAGAGACUAAUAAUGGGCAACGUCAGACCAGGGAGGCGCUGCUGCGGUGGGAAAGAAUGCUGGCCUCGGCGACCACUUCCUUCUCUCUAUUCUGCAGAGCAGUUAAAUGCUGGCCUUGCCCGAAUGUCACGCUGAGACCUGGACCUCAGGAACUCCAAAACACACACCCUUUCCAGAAAUUGUCAUUUCAUCAUUUCUGGACCAGAUGACUCCAAACCACAGAAAGGCACAAAAUUUUCCAUUGGGAUUUCUUCUGCUGUUCCCUUUUGACAGAAUCCUGGCAAAAUGCGUGUGAUGGAUUUUGAGGUAGCCUGUGUCUGAAGAAUCGACCAGGGUGAGCCUAGAGCCGGACUGCCGGGUAGGGAUUUCUGCCUCUGGAAGAUCAAAAGAUCUUACCCAAAGGAUCAGAUUCAGGCCGUACCGGAUGUGCCCAAAUCAUUUCCAUCUGACGCCCAGGACAGCCCAGGAGGCCUGGUCUUAGGGAACAGCUCCCAGAUAGUGCUAUUCACGCAGGGACCCCAAAAGAACCACGUCAGUUGUUUCUGUCCAGUCUGGGCCCAGGCUCUGUUUACAUCAUCUCGCUAGUUCUGUCAGCUGAGUUUUAGAAAUGGGUCUCUGUUUGCAUUCUGGUCAUGGACUAAACUCGGGGCAGGGGAAACCCUUCAUUCCUGUCUUAUCUGCCUCCCAGCUUCUCCCUCCCCACCAUAUAAAUGACAUGCUUCUUAUAAACCAGAGUUCCUUUACGAAGAUGGGUAAACUGAGGCACAGAGCAGGAAACUGAUGUGCCCAGGCUCUGCUUCAUUAUUGUUUAACAAAGAAAGGGACACCUCCCCGUCCAGAACAAAACCUCUGGAAGCUAAGAGAGUGUUAAAAGGAAAACACCAGACUUUUGUAAAGAAUCCUUUUGUUGCAAUUUCUGGGAAUUCUGCUUGCAGCCCACCUGCCUGGCCCCCAGAUCUUCACUGCUCCGAAAGACACAGAGAGCCUUUUAGUUCUGUAUGCACCUCAGCAUUGACCAGGCAUAAUCAGACAAAAUACACCUGGUAGAAAGGAUUUCCAGCUGCUGCUGAAGGCAGCAGUGUUUGCGUCGAGGAUGGAAGUUGAACAUGCUAGCGUUUAACAGGGAGGCAGUGUCUAAAGUGAAAUGAGACGGAAAGAUGUGACCGGUAGCCCAAGGCACUGGGCCAGGUCUGCUCAGGACCUCUGCGUCUGCUGGCUUGUACUAUCUCGGACAUUGUCCUAUCCCGCGAAGGCCCUGCAUUCGGCCCUCUAGGUUGUUUUUUGAAGACUUUUUUAGGGAAGUUUUAGAUUCAUAACAAAACUGGGAGGAAGGUACAGAGAUUUCCCAUACACACCCUGUCCCCACCCAUGUGCCCCCCAUUAUUUAUAUCAUUCACCAGAAAGAUACAUUUGUUACCAAGGAGGGACCUACAUGGAUGCAUCCUUAUUACCCAAAGUCUGAGACCUAAAGCCUAAGGCUUCACUCUUGGUAUAGCACACUCCGUAGAUCUGAACAAUGUAUAAAGACAUGUAUCCAUCAGCAUAAUAUCACAGGGAAUAUUUUCACUGUCCUAAAAAUCCUCUGUGCUCUGCCUAAUCACUUCCUCUCCACCCCUAACCCCUGGCAACCACUGACCCUUUUACUAUCUCCCCAGUUUUGCUUUUUCCAAAAUGCCAUAGAGUUGGAAACAUAUCAUGUAGCCUUUUCAAGUUGGCUUCUUUCACUUAGUAAUAUGCAUUUAAGAUUUCACCAUGUUUUUUCUUGGCUUGAUAGCUCAUUGCUUUUUAGCGCUGAAUAAAUUCCAUAGUCUGGAUGUACCACAGUUUAUUUAUUUAUUCACUGACUGAAGGAUAGCUUGGUUGCUACCUAGUCUUGGCAAUUAUCAGUAAAGCUACUAAUAACA